AAAUAAAGAAGUAAAAUUUUACAUUUAGUUUCGACCUAAAAAUAAGAGUAUCUCCAUAUU
This 60-nucleotide transfer RNA is filed under the name Trioza urticae. RNAcentral's name for it is "tRNA-Arg". Lineage: Eukaryota; Metazoa; Arthropoda; Insecta; Hemiptera; Triozidae. The record is from RNAcentral.